This 84-nucleotide transfer RNA is filed under the name Dunaliella salina. Its description in RNAcentral is "tRNA-Trp". It matches the Rfam family "tRNA". From Rfam's summary of the family: Transfer RNA (tRNA) molecules are approximately 80 nucleotides in length. Lineage: Eukaryota; Viridiplantae; Chlorophyta; Chlorophyceae; Chlamydomonadales; Dunaliellaceae. The record is from RNAcentral.
GGGGAGUUAGCUCAGUGGUAGAGCGGCCGCCUCCAGAUGUGAGAGGAUAGCGGCCGGUCGUGGGUUCGAUCCCUGCACUCCUCA